RNAcentral lists this ribosomal RNA (497 nucleotides) under uncultured bacterium. RNAcentral describes it as "partial 16S ribosomal RNA". It matches the Rfam family "Bacterial small subunit ribosomal RNA", at positions 28 to 507 of the family's 1533-position model. The record is from RNAcentral.
GACGAACGCUGGCGGCGUGCCUAAUACAUGCAAGUUGAGCGCUGAAGGUUGGUACUUGUACCAACUGGAUGAGCAGCGAACGGGUGAGUAACGCGUGGGGAAUCUGCCUUUGAGCGGGGGACAACAUUUGGAAACGAAUGCUAAUACCGCAUAAAAACUUUAAACACAAGUUUUAAGUUUGAAAGAUGCAAUUGCAUCACUCAAAGAUGAUCCCGCGUUGUAUUAGCUAGUUGGUGAGGUAAAGGCUCACCAAGGCGAGGAUACAUAGCCGACCUGAGAGGGUGAGCGGCCACAUUGGGACUGAGACACGGCCCAAACGCCUACGGGAGGCAGCAGUAGGGAAUCUUCGGCAAUGGACGAAAGUCUGACCGAGCAACGCCGCGUGAGUGAAGAAGGUUGUCGGAUCGUAAAACUCUGUUGGUAGAGAAGAACGUUGGUGAGAGUGGAAAGCUCAUCAAGUGACGGUAACUACCCAGAAAGGGACGGCUAACUACGUG